UCGCCGUUGUCGACCACGGUGAUGGUGAGCGUCGCCUCAUGGGUGGUGUCGUAGUUCAUGCCGGGGAUCUUGUCCCCAUCGGCGGG
RNAcentral lists this transfer RNA (86 nucleotides) under uncultured Collinsella sp. RNAcentral's name for it is "tRNA-Met(cat)". The record is from RNAcentral. Lineage: Bacteria; Bacillati; Actinomycetota; Coriobacteriia; Coriobacteriales; Coriobacteriaceae.